ACGGAAGGCAGCAGUGGGGAAUAUUGCACAAUGGGCGCAAGCCUGAUGCAGCGAUGCCGCGUGAGGGAAGAAGGUUUUCGGAUUGUAAACCUCUGUCAUCUGGGACGAUAAUGACUGUACCCGAGAAGGAAGCUCCGGCUAACUACGUGCCAGCAGCCGCGGUAAUACGUAGGGAGCGAGCGUUAUCCGGAAUUACUGGGUGUAAAGGGAGUGUAGGCGGGACUGUAAGUCAGAUGUGAAAUAUGCCGGCUCAACUGGGAGACUGCAUUGGAAACUGCAGUUCUUGAGUGAAGUAGAGGUAAGCGGAAUUCCUAGUGUAGCGGUGAAAUGCGUAGAUAUUAGGAGGAACACCAGUGGCGAAGGCGGCUUACUGGGAUAUAACUGACGCUGAGGCUCGAAAGCGUGGGGAGCAAACAGGAUUAGAUACCCUGGUA
Molecule: ribosomal RNA, 434 nt
Filed under: uncultured Ruminococcus sp.
Lineage: Bacteria; Bacillati; Bacillota; Clostridia; Eubacteriales; Oscillospiraceae
Description: partial 16S ribosomal RNA
Rfam family: Bacterial small subunit ribosomal RNA
Source: RNAcentral